This is a small nucleolar RNA of Gossypium arboreum, 107 nucleotides long. It matches the Rfam family "Plant small nucleolar RNA R71". From Rfam's summary of the family: R71 is a member of the C/D box family of snoRNAs containing the C (UGAUGA) and D (CUGA) box motifs. NCBI's taxonomy places the organism in Eukaryota, Viridiplantae, Streptophyta, Magnoliopsida, Malvales, Malvaceae. The record is from Rfam.
AAACCAUGCAUAGGACAUUUUCUAUGUAAUUCCUUAAAUCUUUCCCAGGCUUCGUAAAUCAUUUCAUCCUUUGAUCGUUGAAAAGAUGCGAUAUCAUUUCUAAGCUU